ACAGGCGAGGGCGUUCGGCGACGUUACUGGGGCUGCACGGUGCUUGUAGCUGGGCAGUCUUAUCAUCAGAGUGGAGCCUGGUAACCACGACCUCCCCGCCAGGUCCUGUGUGUUGCUAGCUGGAGAAGGGUAGUUGAAAACUCAGACCAAGCACAGUGUUUAUAUCGGUCAAAACUGGAAAACUAUGUCCGGGCGCAGCCGAGGCUGGAGGAUCCCUUCAGGCCAAGAGCAACCUAGCAAUAUGGCGCGACCGGAUCUCUGUAGUCCUACCUCAACCCCCAGCUACUUGAACCCCAAGGUUGAAGGCUCCAGUGAGCUAUGAUCCCACCACAGCAUUGCAGCCUGCCAGACUGAGACAUGAACUUAUGAAUUCAACACAUGAAGACUUACAACUUGAUAAACCAGCUUCAGGAGGCUGGAGUGCAAUGGUGCGAUCUGGGCUCACUGCAACCUCUACCUCCUGGGUUCAAGCGAUUCUCCUGUGUCAGCCUCCUGAAUAGCUGGGAUCACAGGUUCCUGAAAGGGAGAGAGGAAAUCUUCGAUUUUUCAUGGCUGUGAACCACUGCAAGUAUUGAAGAAAUAUUUACUACUUCCAGCCUCAUAAUCCUGCAGUCAUUUGGCACCUCUGAAGCCUUGGGGAGCACUGAAGCCAAGGCUGCACCGUACCAAAAAUUUGAAACAUGUGAAUGAGCUGAAUGUGGAAGGACUACCGGAAAACACUCCUUUCAGAAUCCCCUCAUUGCAUGAAAUCCCAAGGCUCGAAAACAUCUUUCAAGUGAGCAAUUGAAUUAAGUUUGUUAUUAAGAGUAACUCCAGUUAGCCUCCAUUGUCUCCAAGCCGGCUUUUGUCCUCAUCCACAACGCCUCCACACAAGCUCUGAACACCUGUCCAUGCUGUACUGUUUAUAUUUCUUGAUGGGACCCUCAAAGACUUAGCCUCUGAAAUUGAAACUCUGGAGGGUUCUGAGUCUCCCGAAACCUAAGGAAAUUUUCCAAGACAUAUCGAGAUAAGUAAAAUCCUAUAUUCAACCAAUGGCAUAUUUCCCCUAUCCUAGAAAUCACCCUCCUUCCCCUUCCCCCCGAAACUUCAGUUGGGAACCAGCUGGAGUUUAUAGCACCAGGCUUAGUGUGGAUCUCUUGACACCUCUGAAACAAGUUCCCCAUCACAUGGGAAAACUGCUCUGCCCUUCCACACCAGGCCUUGGAGCCUCUGCCAGCUUGAUGCUGAAGAAGCCUGACAUCCCCCAGGUAGGGGACAGCUGAGAUCUCUUGGGGUGUCUUGGGACCUGCUUGACUGUCCUUUUGAAGAGCGCACCUUUCCCUCAUCUGUAAAGAAGUCUGAGGGCAGAAACCAGAUGUGCUGACCUCACCUCUCACCUCUCUCCCCCUGGGCUGGAAUCCAGUGUUGCUCACUUCCUAUUCACUAGAAGCAGCUUGCCUGGGCAGGACUGGUGUUAUACUUUGUUUCAGUCAGCACAGGAAA
Molecule: long non-coding RNA, 1482 nt
Filed under: Homo sapiens (human)
Lineage: Eukaryota; Metazoa; Chordata; Mammalia; Primates; Hominidae
Description: HSALNT0362763
Source: RNAcentral